CUAAAGAGCUGGGGUAGGUUUCCUAAGGUAUUCAUUGUUGUCUCUUGUUCCACAGGAGUCUUUUCAAUGAACUAGAGAAAGGAAAGCACAUCUUCCCAUUUAGAAGUCCACAUUCCCAUGGGCGGAAUAUUUUACAGGACAUGCUCAGGGACACUCUGGGGCCUGCAGAACCAAAAGCAUUUGCAGGGUUCAAGACAAGAUCACAAGUCAGUUUCUAGGAGGCACGAAUGGCUGCUGAGUGGCGGGAGGCCCUUCGGUAAGUACCCUGGGACAGCUCCCCAGGCACCUUUCCUGUCCAUAGCUUGACCUUGCG
RNAcentral lists this long non-coding RNA (313 nucleotides) under Capra hircus (goat). Its description in RNAcentral is "lncRNA (ENSCHIG00000007442.1)". Lineage: Eukaryota; Metazoa; Chordata; Mammalia; Artiodactyla; Bovidae. The record is from RNAcentral.